AUGGUCGUUGAUGCUCUGGCAGCCAUCCUAGAUAAAGCCAAGGCUGCGGGACAUAUUAGUGGCAUAGUCCCACAUCUGGUAGGCGGGAAUGGGAUUUCCCUUCUCCAAUACGCAGAUGACACCAUUCUAAUGGUGGAAGGCUCAGCGAACGGCAUCACGAACUUGAAGUUCCUCCUAGCUUGCUUUUUAAUGUCUGGCCUCAGGAUCAACUUCGAUAAGAGUGCGGUCAUGGUCUUGGGAUACCCCCAAGACGAGCGACAGGGCAUCGCGGACCGCCUCAACUGCCAGCUUGGGAGCUUCCCCACGACUUAUUUGGGGAUCCCCAUUAGCGACACGAGGCUCACGGUGGCUGAGCUGCGCCCCACGAUGGGGAAGCUUCAGCACCGCAUUGAACCAUGGCAGGGCCGAUGGCUCUCUAAGGCAGCCCGGACGGUGCUCAUUAACUCGUCCCUCUCCAGCUUGCUCCUAUUCAUUAUGAGCUUCUAUAGCCUGCCUGAGACUCUGCACCAUGAGAUUGCCACAGUCCAGGGGCGCUUCCUCUGAGUUGGCGAGGGUGAUAAGCAGAAGUACCACAUGGUUCGGUGGUCGGAGAUCUGUAAACCUCGCGAUCAGGGCGGACUCGGGAUCAUGUACUCCAAACACAUGAACAUUGCUCUCCUGACUAGGUGGCUUUGGCGGAUUGCGAACGGAGGGGGUGGCUUGUGGCUUCGCAUCAUCCAGCAGAAAUACCUCCGUGGUUAG
RNAcentral lists this ribosomal RNA (741 nucleotides) under Triticum aestivum (bread wheat). RNAcentral describes it as "partial small subunit ribosomal RNA". The record is from RNAcentral. Lineage: Eukaryota; Viridiplantae; Streptophyta; Magnoliopsida; Poales; Poaceae.